RNAcentral lists this ribosomal RNA (569 nucleotides) under uncultured beta proteobacterium. RNAcentral's name for it is "bacterial SSU rRNA". It matches the Rfam family "Bacterial small subunit ribosomal RNA", at positions 9 to 573 of the family's 1533-position model. Lineage: Bacteria; Pseudomonadati; Pseudomonadota; Betaproteobacteria. The record is from RNAcentral.
GAGUUUGAUCAUGGCUCAGAUUGAACGCUAGCGGGAUGCUUUACACAUGCAAGUCGAACGGCAGCGCGGACUUCGGUCUGGCGGCGAGUGGCGAACGGGUGAGUAAUGUAUCGGAACGUGCCCAGUAGCGGGGGAUAACUACUCGAAAGAGUAGCUAAUACCGCAUACGCCCUACGGGGGAAAGGGGGGGAUCUUAGGACCUCUCACUAUUGGAGCGGCCGAUAUCGGAUUGGCUAGUUGGUGAGGUAAAGGCUCACCAAGGCUGCGAUCCGUAGCUGGUUUGAGAGGACGACCAGCCACACUGGGACUGAGACACGGCCCAGACUCCCACGGGAGGCAGCAGUGGGGAAUUUUGGACAAUGGGGGCAACCCUGAUCCAGCCAUCCCGCGUGUGCGAUGAAGGCCUUCGGGUUGCAAAGCACUUUUGGCAGGAAAGAAAUUGCACGGGUUAAUACCCUGUGAGGAUGACGGUACCUGCAGAAUAAGCACCGGCUAACUACGUGCCAGCAGCCGCGGUAAUACGUAGGGUGCAAGCGUUAAUCGGAAUUACUGGGCGUAAAGCGUGCGCA